This 1350-nucleotide ribosomal RNA is filed under the name metagenome. RNAcentral's name for it is "bacterial LSU rRNA". It matches the Rfam family "Bacterial large subunit ribosomal RNA", at positions 1596 to 2925 of the family's 2925-position model. The record is from RNAcentral.
GAUCCUAUGCUGCCUAGAAAAGCCCAGCAGCGAGUUGACAUGGUGCCCGUACCCCAAACCAACACAGGUGGACAGGUAGAGCAUACCAAGGCGAGUGGGAUAACUAUGGUUAAGGAACUCGGCAAAUUGCCUCCGUAACUUCGGGAGAAGGAGGACCCCAGUAGCGUGAUGAGACUUGCUCUCUGAGCGUGAAGGGGUGGCACAAAAUUGAGGGAAGCGACUGUUUACCAAAAACACAGCAGCGUGCUAAGCCGUAAGGCGCUGUAUACGCUGUGACUCCUGCCCCGUGCUGGAAGGUUACGGGGAUGGGUUAGUCCUUCGGGACGAAGCUCUGAACCUAAGCCCCAGUAAACGGCGGCCGUAACUAUAACGGUCCUAAGGUAGCGAAAUUCCUUGUCGGGUAAGUUCCGACCUGCACGAAUGGAGUAACGACUUCCCUACUGUCUCAACCAUAGACCCAGCGAAAUUGAAGUACGAGUAAAGAUGCUCGUUAGCUGCAGAAGGACGGAAAGACCCCGUGGACCUUUACUAUAACUUGAUGUUGUGUUUUGUCAUAUGUUGUGUAGGAUAGGUGGGAGACUUGGAAGCAUGGACGCUAGUCUGUGUGGAGUCAUCGUUGAAAUACCACCCUGCAUAUGGUGAGGCUCUAACCUAGACCCGUUAUCCGGGUUGGGGACAGCGUCAGGCGGGUAGUUUAACUGGGGCGGUUGCCUCCUAAAGAGUAACGGAGGCGCCCAAAGGUUCCCUCAGCCUGGUUGGCAAUCAGGCGUUGAGUGCAAUGGCAAAAGGGAGCUUGACUGCGAGACCUACAAGUCGAGCAGGAGCGAAAGCUGGGCAUAGUGAUCCGGCGGUUGCGUGUGGAAGCGCCGUCGCUCAACGGAUAAAAGGUACCCCGGGGAUAACAGGCUAAUCUUGCCCAAGCGUCCAUAGCGACGGCAAGGUUUGGCACCUCGAUGUCGGCUCAUCGCAUCCUGGGGCUGAAGCAGGUCCCAAGGGUUGGGCUGUUCGCCCAUUAAAGCGGUACGCGAGCUGGGUUCAGAACGUCGUGAGACAGUUCGGUCCCUAUCCUCUGCAGCCGGAGGUGAAUUGAGGAAAGCUGUCCCUAGUACGAGAGGACCGGGACGGACGCAGCUCUCGUGUGCCAGUUGUCCUGCCAAGGGCAUGGCUGGUUAGCGACCUGCGGAAAGGAUAACCGCUGAAAGCAUCUAAGCGGGAAGCCUCUUCCAAGAUGAAUUCACCCACAGGGUUAACCUGGUAAGGCCCGUGGUAGACCACCACGUUGAUAGGCCGGAAGUGUAAGCGUGGCAACACGUUCAGCUGACCGGUACUAAUCGGCCGAGGGCUUGAGUC